RNAcentral lists this transfer RNA (66 nucleotides) under Astrospartus mediterraneus. RNAcentral describes it as "transfer RNA-Gly". Lineage: Eukaryota; Metazoa; Echinodermata; Ophiuroidea; Euryalida; Gorgonocephalidae. The record is from RNAcentral.
UUCUUAUUAGUUUAAAAAGAAUAAUUGAUUUCCAAUCAAUAGGGUUACUAAAAAGUAAAUAAGAAA